GCGGGGGUUGCCAAGCCAGGUCAAAGGCGCAGGUGCCCUACUCCUGUCCCGUAGGGGUUCGUGGGUUCAAAUCCCACCCCCCGCACCA
Molecule: transfer RNA, 88 nt
Filed under: Nitrososphaerales archaeon
Lineage: Archaea; Thermoproteati; Nitrososphaerota; Nitrososphaeria; Nitrososphaerales
Description: tRNA-Arg
Rfam family: tRNA
About the family: Transfer RNA (tRNA) molecules are approximately 80 nucleotides in length. Their secondary structure includes four short double-helical elements and three loops (D, anti-codon, and T loops).
Source: RNAcentral